UACGGAGGAUGCGAACGUUAUCCGGAUUUAUUGGGUUUAAAGGGUGCGCAGGCGGCGUGUCAAGUCAGCGGUAAAAUGUCGGGGCUCAACCCCGGCCGGCCGUUGAAACUGGCGUGCUCGAGUUGGAGAGAAGUAUGCGGAAUUCGUGGUGUAGCGGUGAAAUGCAUAGAUACCACGAAGAACCCCGAUUGCGAAGGCAGCAUACCGGCUCCACACUGACGCUGAGGCACGAAAGCGUGGGUAUCGAACAGG
RNAcentral lists this ribosomal RNA (252 nucleotides) under uncultured bacterium. RNAcentral's name for it is "partial 16S ribosomal RNA". It matches the Rfam family "Bacterial small subunit ribosomal RNA", at positions 524 to 776 of the family's 1533-position model. The record is from RNAcentral.